This 1080-nucleotide ribosomal RNA is filed under the name Triticum aestivum (bread wheat). RNAcentral's name for it is "partial small subunit ribosomal RNA". The record is from RNAcentral. Lineage: Eukaryota; Viridiplantae; Streptophyta; Magnoliopsida; Poales; Poaceae.
AUGGGGUCGGGGGUCGGCGACAGGAUGGCCACGCGAUGCCGUACGUUUGCUCGGGAGGCCGUUCGCCGCUUGGGAGCCUGGGCGAAGCCCGAUCCGUCCAAGCCUCGGGUCCCCUUCAGCACGAGGAUGGAGUGGUUCAACAAGGAAUGGGAUAGGCACCUUACUGAGGGGGAAAAGUCAGUCCACAAUUUCAAGCGGACCAUGAAGAUUGCGGGGCCUACUUUCACUGCAGCAGCAGCACUUCACAUCUUUUACAAAGAGAUGAUGAGAGUUCAAGGACCUGAUGGUGCUCCCGCAGAUCCCGACACAAGCUACGAGCGUGCCAGGCGUGCCGUAUUCCUCUUUCUGCACAAGGUUGACCCGGGGAGUUUCCCUUCACCUGGGGACCCCGCAUUGAGGCUGGCGCAACUCUGGAGAACUUACUACGAGGAGCUCUUCGGAAAGCCAGCAGAAGAUGAAGCCGAGAACAAGGAGGAGUCUUUGGAGACUGCGAGGAUUACAGCAGAAGCUCAGGCUUUGAUCUCCCAGACGCUUGGCAAGCUACAGGCAGAGGAAGCAUGCAAGACUGAAGCCGAUGCUGUCCUGUUUCUGGUUACAAAGCACAGAGAGGCAUGGAUCCGAGAAGGGGCCCUAGAAUCACUGCUUGAUCACCAGAUGCACAGGGUCGCUGCUGCACUGCCCGGAGCUUCUUGCGAUCUUUCCUUGCUGACAGAGCAGCGCGCCUCACGUGUUCGAGCGGCAGCCGUGUCAUCAUUGAGGAGGCAGUUGCAGCAGAGGAUGACUGCCAGGGCUACUGAAGGACCACCAGACCACUCGUCCGACAUACUUACCUUGAUCACUGCUCGCAAAAUGGUUGGCGAGGCACAGAGCAUGGUUGAUGCAGUCCGUGCCAGGUGGGCAUCUGAAGCAACAAGGGAAUCCAAGCCUGGGGAUGGUAUCGAAGGGAUCCAAGCCCGGUCCACGGAAGUACCACAGCAUGUGGCUGAUAUACUCCAGGGUGCUGCUGAAGCCCAUGCCAAGAGGGCAUCUGAAGCAGCAAGGAGAUCCAAGCAUGGGGAUGGUACCGCAGGGAGUGCUUAG